Molecule: ribosomal RNA, 1965 nt
Filed under: human gut metagenome
Description: bacterial LSU rRNA
Rfam family: Bacterial large subunit ribosomal RNA
Source: RNAcentral
UCAAGCUAAUAAGAGCACAGGGUGGAUGCCCAGGCACCAAACGCCGACGAAAGACGUGGCAAGCUGCGAAAAGUCACGGGGAACCGCAAGCAGGUAUUGAUCCGUGAACGUCUGAAUGGGGAAACCCGGCGGGUUAACAGCCCGUCACUAUUAACUGAAUCAAUAGGUUAAUAGGGGGAACGCGGGGAACUGAAACAUCUCAGUACCCGUAGGAAGAGAAAAUAAAGAAUGAUUUCCUAAGUAGCGGCGAGCGAACGGGAAAGAGGCCAAACCGAAGGGCUUGCUCUUCGGGGUUGUGGAUCAGCAAAAAGGACGGAAGACCUUAGCAGAAGAGGAUUGGAAAGUCCCGCCAGAGAGGGUAAAAGCCCCUUACGCGAAAAGGUCAAACGACGAGCUGACACCAGAGUACCGCAGGACACGAGAAAUCCGGUGGGAAGCCGGGAGGACCACCUCCCAAGCCUAAAUACGAAUUGGUGACCGAUAGCGCAUAGUACCGUGAGGGAAAGGUGAAAAGAACCCCGGGAGGGGAGUGAAAAAGAACCUGAAACCCUGUGUUUACAAGCAGUGAAAGUGCGAGCAAGGCACGAUCACGUACUUUUUGUAGAACGGACCGGCGAGUUACGUUAUGCAGCAAGGUUAAGAACUGAAGGUUCGGAGCCGAAGCGAAAGCGAGUCUGAAUAGGGCGAUAGUUGCAUGACGUAGACCCGAAACCGGGUGACCUAUCCAUGAGCAGGUUGAAGUGGAGGUAAAGCUCCAUGGAGGACCGAACCAGACGUCUGUUGAAAAAGGCGGGGAUGACUUGUGGAUAGGGGAGAAAUUCCAAUCGAACCCGGAGAUAGCUGGUUCUCCUCGAAAUAGCUUUAGGGCUAGCCUCAUGGAUCAUUGGUGGGGGUAGAGCACUGAAUGUGCGCGGGGGCCACAAAGCCUACCAAACGCUAUCAAACUUCGAAUACCAUACAAUGCAGACCAUGGGAGUCAGUCCGCGAGAGAUAAGUUCCGCGGGCAAAAGGGGAACACCCCAGAUCAACCGCUAAGGUCCCCAAGUUCACGUUAAGUGGAGAAGGAUGUGGAAUUGCACAGACAACCAGGAUGUUGGCUCAGAAGCAGCCACACAUUUAAAGAGUGCGUAAUAGCUCACUGGUCGAGUGAUUGUGCGCCGAAGAUGUCCGGGGCUAAACGUGACACCGAAGCGAUGGGUGCAUCUGAAGAAGAUGCGCGGUAGAGGAGCAAUGUGCAGAGGCAGAAGCCGUAUCGAGAGGCACGGUGGACACUGCACAAGAGAGAAUGCCGGUAUGAGUAGCGAGAGGCAUGCGAGAAACAUGCCCGUCGAAAGCCCAAGGUUUCCUGGGGAAGGUUCAUCCGCCCAGGGUAAGUCGGGGCCUAAGCCGAGGACGGAAGUCGUAGGCGAUGGACAGCAGGUGUAGAUUCCUGCACUACCGAUGGAAUGAAGCAGUGACACAGAAGGAUAACUCGAGCAGGGUGAUGGUCAACCCUGUGCAAGCAUCGAGGUUGGGUUGUAGUGAAGUACGCAACCCUAUAAGCUGAGGUGUGAUGCGGACCGAAAUUUCAGUAGGGAAGCGAGUGAGUUCACGCUGGCGAGAAAAGCUGCUAGUACAUCCAAAGGUACCCGUACCGGAAACCGACGCAGGUGGGCGAGGAGAGAAUCCUGAGACGAACGGGAGAACCCUUGUUAAGGAACUCGGCAAAAUGACCCCGUAACUUCGGGAUAAGGGGUGCCUGCGAGAGCAGGCCGCAGAGAAUAGGCCCAAGCGACUGUUUAGCAAAAACACAGGUAUCUGCGAAAGCGAGAGCUGACGUAUAGGUGCUGACACCUGCCCGGUGCUGGAAGGUUAAGGGAACAUGUUAGAGCAAUCGAAGCAUCGAACCGAAGCCCCAGUAAACGGCGGCCGUAACUAUAACGGUCCUAAGGUAGCGAAAUUCCUUGUCGGGUAAGUUCCGACCCG